RNAcentral lists this ribosomal RNA (107 nucleotides) under Smittium megazygosporum. RNAcentral describes it as "partial 5.8S ribosomal RNA". Lineage: Eukaryota; Fungi; Kickxellomycota; Harpellomycetes; Harpellales; Legeriomycetaceae. The record is from RNAcentral.
GAAUUCCGAAAAUUGAUCCGAAUCGCAGCCCAUGAGUCAUCGAGUCUUUGAACGCACAUUGCCACCUUUUCCUUGCAAAAGGUAUGCCCUGUUUUGAGCUUCAGUUU